AGAAUCAACGCUGGCGGCGUGCCUAACACAUGCAAGUCGAACGAGAAAGUGGGAGCAAUCCCAUGAGUAAAGUGGCGCACGGGUGAGUAACACGUGACUAACCUACCCUUGAGUGGGGGAUAACCUAGGGAAACCUGGGCUAAUACCGCAUAAUACCUACGGGUCAAAGGAGCAAUUCGCGUUUAGGAGGGGGUCGCGGCAGAUUAGUUAGUUGGCGGGGUAAUGGCCCACCAGACAGUGAUCU
RNAcentral lists this ribosomal RNA (244 nucleotides) under uncultured bacterium. RNAcentral describes it as "partial small subunit ribosomal RNA". It matches the Rfam family "Bacterial small subunit ribosomal RNA", at positions 26 to 282 of the family's 1533-position model. The record is from RNAcentral.